This 916-nucleotide ribosomal RNA is filed under the name Pseudomonas sp. SLI-02-4. RNAcentral's name for it is "bacterial SSU rRNA". It matches the Rfam family "Bacterial small subunit ribosomal RNA", at positions 46 to 957 of the family's 1533-position model. The record is from RNAcentral. Lineage: Bacteria; Pseudomonadati; Pseudomonadota; Gammaproteobacteria; Pseudomonadales; Pseudomonadaceae.
GCCUAACACAUGCAAGUCGAGCGGAUGAAGGGAGCUUGCUCCUGGAUUCAGCGGCGGACGGGUGAGUAAUGCCUAGGAAUCUGCCUGGUAGUGGGGGAUAACGUUCCGAAAGGAACGCUAAUACCGCGUACGUCCUACGGGAGAAAGCAGGGGACCUUCGGGCCUUGCGCUAUCAGAUGAGCCUAGGUCGGAUUAGCUAGUUGGUGAGGUAAUGGCUCACCAAGGCGACGAUCCGUAACUGGUCUGAGAGGAUGAUCAGUCACACUGGAACUGAGACACGGUCCAGACUCCUACGGGAGGCAGCAGUGGGGAAUAUUGGACAAUGGGCGAAAGCCUGAUCCAGCCAUGCCGCGUGUGUGAAGAAGGUCUUCGGAUUGUAAAGCACUUUAAGUUGGGAGGAAGGGCUGUAGGCUAAUAUCCUGCGGUUUUGACGUUACCAACAGAAUAAGCACCGGCUAACUUCGUGCCAGCAGCCGCGGUAAUACGAAGGGUGCAAGCGUUAAUCGGAAUUACUGGGCGUAAAGCGCGCGUAGGUGGUUCGUUAAGUUGGAUGUGAAAGCCCCGGGCUCAACCUGGGAACUGCAUCCAAAACUGGCGAGCUAGAGUACGGUAGAGGGUAGUGGAAUUUCCUGUGUAGCGGUGAAAUGCGUAGAUAUAGGAAGGAACACCAGUGGCGAAGGCGACUACCUGGACUGAUACUGACACUGAGGUGCGAAAGCGUGGGGAGCAAACAGGAUUAGAUACCCUGGUAGUCCACGCCGUAAACGAUGUCAACUAGCCGUUGGAAUCCUUGAGAUUUUAGUGGCGCAGCUAACGCAUUAAGUUGACCGCCUGGGGAGUACGGCCGCAAGGUUAAAACUCAAAUGAAUUGACGGGGGCCCGCACAAGCGGUGGAGCAUGUGGUUUAAUUCGAAGC